RNAcentral lists this ribosomal RNA (52 nucleotides) under Metschnikowia pulcherrima. RNAcentral describes it as "partial 26S ribosomal RNA". The record is from RNAcentral. Lineage: Eukaryota; Fungi; Ascomycota; Pichiomycetes; Serinales; Metschnikowiaceae.
GUUUUAGCCCCAUCCUUGUUCCUCACCCUCGUAAGACUACCCGCUGAACUAA